RNAcentral lists this ribosomal RNA (114 nucleotides) under Pteropus alecto (black flying fox). Lineage: Eukaryota; Metazoa; Chordata; Mammalia; Chiroptera; Pteropodidae. The record is from RNAcentral.
GUCUAUGGCCACCCUGAACGUGCCCAAUCCUGUCUGAUCUCAGAAGCUAAGCAGGGUUGGGCCUGGUUAGUACUUGGAUGGGAGACCGCCUAGGAAGACCAGGUGCUGUAGGCA